UGGCUCCCUCUGGAAUGGCGGCGAGACACUUGCGGUCUCGGAAGAGAAGUACAUCGAAUUUUAGAGCUGGAAGAUGAGCCGGAUCUGAUUUUCCCUUUUAAGAUCUUCCGCGGUUCUUCGUCAGUGGAGGCGUGUGGCUUGGAGGGACGACUCCGCCAUCCCGGAUCUACCUUUUGUCAUGGUUGUUUAACCCAAAACCAGUGUGUUUGUUGGAUUUAGA
RNAcentral lists this long non-coding RNA (220 nucleotides) under Brassica napus (rape). RNAcentral describes it as "long non-coding RNA (BNAP_LNC003291)". Lineage: Eukaryota; Viridiplantae; Streptophyta; Magnoliopsida; Brassicales; Brassicaceae. The record is from RNAcentral.